Long non-coding RNA from Lolium rigidum, 996 nucleotides. RefSeq lists it as uncharacterized. NCBI's taxonomy places the organism in Eukaryota, Viridiplantae, Streptophyta, Magnoliopsida, Poales, Poaceae. The record is from RefSeq and is a predicted model, not a curated record. The transcript has 4 exons.
AGUCGAUUUCUGCUCACCUCCUCGCUGCGGCUGUAGCACACACGCGACCACCGCCAACUCCGCCUAGAUCCCGACGGGAGGCGGCGAUAGAGGUCCAUGGCAGCCCCCAAGGGUUCACUCAGCUGCUCCUAAGCAUGGGAGUUCCAGGCCUAGAUUGGCCGGGGCUAGAUCGGGAGGACGCAAUCCAGACGGAAGACGUGUAGCAGCCCCAAGCUGGAGCGUCGAGUUUGGGAGAUCUGGAAGCAGCGGCGAAUUUCACGGAGAUCUCGGCGCGAAAUUCGGCCAGUAAACUCGGCGUCGAGUUUGUUUCAGAGGUUGUUUUUCAGUUAGUGUAAGAGGUUGUAAUUUAGAUAAGGAUCAGAACAGAAUAGGCACUUAUGCAGUAGUAUUCAUGCUUGCCCUGUGGUCCUCUAGCCGCUGAUCAGCAAGGAGUGACGAGCGGUCUCGCGUGGCAGCAGGUCGAGUGCUUGGAGAAGUUCGUCGCCGGCAACGCCAUGGACACCAGUCGUGCAUUCGAUUUAUGAGAUUUCCUUCUCUAUUACAUUUCAAAUCUUGGUGUUUUAUCUUCUCAGCUGUAGUAAUUUCAUGAGGCUUACUGCAUGUUUUGUGAAUUUUAUAUCCAGGCUUGCUGAAUCAGCUUAUUAUGAGCUUCGGUUCUCUGUUUAGGAGGAUGAUAUAUGUAAUUUCAUGUGUUCCGCAAAGAGGCAGUAUACACAAAACAGCAAGAUACCUUUAGAAGCGAUGCAAUCAGGUGCCAGUGGAAUCCUGUUGGUCUACUACGAGCUCCUUUUGCGGCUUACUUUUUAGGCAAACUUUGUUUUCUAAGAUGAGAUGAAAAGUUCAGUUGCCAACUGACAUGUACAGUUUGCUUUUGUUAUAUUUGCUAUGGGCUUGUAACCCCAGUCUCGUUCUGCCCCUUUUGUUUCAACUAUGCAGAAAAUUAUCUCUGCCUUUUGUACAAUCAUAAAAAUUCGAUCUGUGCACAUAUUAAAACUA